Molecule: long non-coding RNA, 649 nt
Organism: Manihot esculenta (cassava)
Lineage: Eukaryota; Viridiplantae; Streptophyta; Magnoliopsida; Malpighiales; Euphorbiaceae
Exons: 2
Source: RefSeq, a predicted model, not a curated record
UUCAUAAACACUCUCCUUGAAACUCUCCUUCUCUUCCACAUUUUAUCUCUCUCAAAUACUUUGUGAUACUAAUUUUAGCUGGGUAUGAAUCAGUUUUGAGUUUUGAUCAGGUAGAUGUAUUCACUGACUCCGCCUUCAAGGGGAACCUAGCAGCAGUAUGCUUACUCGAGGAAGAAAAAGAUGAAAAUUGGUUGCAAGGUGUAGCUACUUAGUUCAACAUCUCCGAGACCAGCUAUUUUGACUCCCAUCAUCAUUGACUCCGAUGCUUCUAAUUCAAAUCCCAGAUUCCGUCUCAGGUGGUGUACUCCUGUUGCUGAGUUGCUUUGACCGGAACCUAGGGUGGCGACGGCAGACAGUGGCGGACUGGCGGUCCUUGCAGCUUUCAGCUAGGGUUAGGGACUUUUGGGCUCAGCUUGUUUCUUGCCCUUUAUUUUUUAGCUGGCUUCUAUUGGCCUUAGGCUUCUUUUCCUUAAUGUUUUGUGGGCUAUUGUACUUGGUGCAAUGCCUUUUUAAUGUAGCCUUUGUCUUGAAGGGAGAAAAAAAAAAAAAGCUAAGAUCAUAGUUUAUUUCAAACACUAAUCGUUUGGAUUGUAUGAUAUCUUAGGUUUUUUUUUUUAACGAGACUAAUAGUCAAUAACUUAUUUCAAAC